UACGUAGGUCCCGAGCGUUGUCCGGAUUUAUUGGGCGUAAAGCGAGCGCAGGUGGUUUAUUAAGUCUGGUGUAAAAGGCAGUGGCUCAACCAUUGUAUGCAUUGGAAACUGGUAGACUUGAGUGUAGGAGAGGAGAGUGGAAUUCCAUGUGUAGCGGUGAAAUGCGUAGAUAUAUGGAGGAACACCGGUGGCGAAAGCGGCUCUCUGGCCUGUAACUGACACUGAGGCUCGAAAGCGUGGGUAGCAAACAGG
This 252-nucleotide ribosomal RNA is filed under the name uncultured bacterium. RNAcentral's name for it is "partial 16S ribosomal RNA". It matches the Rfam family "Bacterial small subunit ribosomal RNA", at positions 524 to 776 of the family's 1533-position model. The record is from RNAcentral.